GAACAGCAACAGCGGCGCGUUAAGUUUCCCUCCUUUGGCUGUCUGGCUGCAGCAGAUACGCUAUCAGUGAUACAGGGGGCGGCUAAAGCUCACCCUUGUGCCGGGGACAGGGGGAUCCGCUUCCCUGCGGGGACUCUAGGACUUCACAGUAAGUUGGACGCCAGGUCCCGAGAGGCACAGCGUGUCCGGGAAACUUUAGUGAGAGACAGGUCAGCCCCCCUCGGCUGCCGGGUCCCCGAGUCUCUCUCGCUGCCUCCCGGCUCCGGGGGGCUGCUCGGCGGUUCACGUGCGUGUUCGGGUCUCUUCACAUGGAGCCGCUGCCCCCUCGCUUCCCCCCGGGCCGGUCUCUCUGCUGCCGCCGUCCGGGAGAGGAGGCGAGUGGCUCGGGCCGCGGCCCCCGCUCCGCGCUCCCUCUCAUACACUCGGGCACCGGGAGCCGCCGCACCCGGCUCCAGCGGCCGGGGCGCUGCUAGGGCCCCAGCCAGGCAGCGCGGGGAACCCAGGCGGCCGGGCUCAGCGCCGCUCCCACUCUGGUCUCAGGCAUGUGUGAGUCUCUGCGCGGGGCGCUCCGCAGGCAGAGGCGGGCGGCAGCCGCCACGCGUGGGUGCCCGGUACCUCCUCGGCCGGAGCCCUACGGCUGUGGCGGGAGGGGGCGCUGGGGAGGCCGGUCCGGGCUACAGCUCGCGCCUCGGGUCCGCUUGUUUUCUGUGUCUCACACAGAGCGAUUGGUGCGGGAGGAGAGAGGGGAAGAGGACGGCGGCGCACGGGGAUGACAGGCGUAACCAGGCAACAGCCCCCACCUCUCUGCCGGCGCCCGGCGAUUACGUCAGAGAAGGACAAGGUGGCGCGGAGUGGGUAGCGUUGUUGCUGGAUGGUUCAGGCCAGGACAAGGGGGAGGAGCCUGAGCGCAGAGACCCAGACGCAGCCAAAGCGCCGGGCUGCUGGCGGAGGAAUCGGCUCUGGGAGAAGUUUAACCCCCGCGGUCCCGAGGGCAGCAGCCCCUGGGAGGUGACUGGCGAGGCUGGGCUGAAGCCGAGGGGACGCCGGGCUGAGCCGUGCGCCCCGUGGGCCCGGAGCUGGUGCAGUAAUCCCUGUGCAGCGCUGGCCCCUCACUAG
This 1116-nucleotide long non-coding RNA is filed under the name Chrysemys picta bellii (western painted turtle). RNAcentral's name for it is "lncRNA (ENSCPBG00000025798.1)". The record is from RNAcentral. Lineage: Eukaryota; Metazoa; Chordata; Testudines; Emydidae.